AGCCUUCAGCUCAACAAGUAUUGAAGGUGACGCCUGCCCAGUGACAUAAAGUUUAACGGCCGCGGUAUCCUAACCGUGCAAAGGUAGCGCAAUCAAUUGUCCCAUAAAUCGAGACUUGUAUGAAUGGCCAAACGAGGUCUUAACUGUCUCUUGCAAGUAAUCAGUGAAAUUGAUCUCCCCGUGCAAAAGCGGGGAUAAAUUCAUAAGACGAGAAGACCCUGUGGAACUUAAAAACCAGCAGCCACCCCAAACCAUAUCUAAACCUACAAGGCUCACAACCAAGAACAACUGGCUAGCAUUUUUUCGGUUGGGGCGACCUUGGAGAAAAACAUAUCCUCCAAAAAUAAGACCAUAUAUCUUAACCAAGAUCAACCACUCAACGUACUAACAGUAACCAGACCCAGCAUAGCUGAUCAAUGGACCAAGCUACCCCAGGGAUAACAGCGCUAUCCCCCUCAAGAGCCCAUAUCGACAGGGGGGUUUACGACCUCGAUGUUGGAUCAGGACAUCCUAAUGGUGCAGCCGCUAUUAAGGGUUCGUUUGUUCAACGAUUAAUUAGUCCU
This 563-nucleotide ribosomal RNA is filed under the name Amaurornis phoenicurus phoenicurus. RNAcentral describes it as "partial 16S ribosomal RNA". It matches the Rfam family "Bacterial large subunit ribosomal RNA", at positions 1817 to 2597 of the family's 2925-position model. Lineage: Eukaryota; Metazoa; Chordata; Aves; Gruiformes; Rallidae. The record is from RNAcentral.